Molecule: ribosomal RNA, 1451 nt
Filed under: uncultured organism
Description: SSU rRNA
Rfam family: Bacterial small subunit ribosomal RNA
Source: RNAcentral
UGAACGCUAGCUACAGGCUUAACACAUGCAAGUCGAGGGGCAGCAUGGUCUUAGCUUGCUAAGGCCGAUGGCGACCGGCGCACGGGUGAGUAACACGUAUCCAACCUGCCGUCUACUCUUGGACAGCCUUCUGAAAGGAAGAUUAAUACAAGAUGGCAUCAUGAGUCCGCAUGUUCACAUGAUUAAAGGUAUUCCGGUAGACGAUGGGGAUGCGUUCCAUUAGAUAGUAGGCGGGGUAACGGCCCACCUAGUCUUCGAUGGAUAGGGGUUCUGAGAGGAAGGUCCCCCACAUUGGAACUGAGACACGGUCCAAACUCCUACGGGAGGCAGCAGUGAGGAAUAUUGGUCAAUGGGCGAGAGCCUGAACCAGCCAAGUAGCGUGAAGGAUGACUGCCCUAUGGGUUGUAAACUUCUUUUAUAAAGGAAUAAAGUCGGGUAUGCAUACCCGUUUGCAUGUACUUUAUGAAUAAGGAUCGGCUAACUCCGUGCCAGCAGCCGCGGUAAUACGGAGGAUCCGAGCGUUAUCCGGAUUUAUUGGGUUUGAAGGGAGCGUAGAUGGAUGUUUAAGUCAGUUGUGAAAGUUUGCGGCUCAACCGUAAAAUUGCAGUUGAUACUGGAUAUCUUGAGUGCAGUUGAGGCAGGCGGAAUUCGUGGUGUAGCGGUGAAAUGCUUAGAUAUCACGAAGAACUCCGAUUGCGAAGGCAGCCUGCUAAGCUGCAACUGACAUUGAGGCUCGAAAGUGUGGGUAUCAAACAGGAUUAGAUACCCUGGUAGUCCACACGGUAAACGAUGAAUACUCGCUGUUUGCGAUAUACGGCAAGCGGCCAAGCGAAAGCGUUAAGUAUUCCACCUGGAGAGUACGCCGGCAACGGUGAAACUCAAAGGAAUUGACGGGGGCCCGCACAAGCGGAGGAACAUGUGGUUUAAUUCGAUGAUACGCGAGGAACCUUACCCGGGCUUAAAUUGCAGAUGAAUUACGGUGAAAGCCGUAAGCCGCAAGGCAUCUGUGAAGGUGCUGCAUGGUUGUCGUCAGCUCGUGCCGUGAGGUGUCGGCUUAAGUGCCAUAACGAGCGCAACCCUUGUUGUCAGUUACUAACAGGUUCCGCUGAGGACUCUGACAAGACUGCCAUCGUAAGAUGUGAGGAAGGUGGGGAUGACGUCAAAUCAGCACGGCCCUUACGUCCGGGGCUACACACGUGUUACAAUGGGGGGUACAGAGGGCCGCUACCACGCGAGUGGAUGCCAAUCCCCAAAACCUCUCUCAGUUCGGACUGGAGUCUGCAACCCGACUCCACGAAGCUGGAUUCGCUAGUAAUCGCGCAUCAGCCACGGCGCGGUGAAUACGUUCCCGGGCCUUGUACACACCGCCCGUCAAGCCAUGGGAGCCGGGGGUACCUGAAGUGCGUAACCGCGAGGAGCGCCCUAGGGUAAAACUGGUGACUGGGGCUAAG